AGGGCGCACGGUGGAUGCCUUGGCACUAGAAGCCGAUGAAGGACGUUACUAACGACGAUAUGCUUUGGGGAGCUGUAAGUAAGCUUUGAUCCAGAGAUUUCCGAAUGGGGAAACCCAGCAUGAGUUAUGUCAUGUUAUCGAUAUGUGAAUACAUAGCAUAUCAGAAGGCACACCCGGAGAACUGAAACAUCUUAGUACCCGGAGGAAGAGAAAGAAAAUUCGAUUCCCUUAGUAGCGGCGAGCGAAACGGGAAGAGCCCAAACCAACAAGCUUGCUUGUUGGGGUUGUAGGACACUCUAUACGGAGUUACAAAGGACGACAUUAGACGAAUCAUCUGGAAAGAUGAAUCAAAGAAGGUAAUAAUCCUGUAGUCGAAAAUGUUGUCUCUCUUGAGUGGAUCCUGAGUACGACGGAGCACGUGAAAUUCCGUCGGAAUCUGGGAGGACCAUCUCCUAAGGCUAAAUACUCUCUAGUGACCGAUAGUGAACCAGUACCGUGAGGGAAAGGUGAAAAGCACCCCGGAAGGGGAGUGAAAUAGAACCUGAAACCGUGUGCUUACAAGUAGUCAGAGCCCGUUAAUGGGUGAUGGCGUGCCUUUUGUAGAAUGAACCGGCGAGUUACGAUUUGAUGCAAGGUUAAGCAGUAAAUGUGGAGCCGUAGCGAAAGCGAGUCUGAAUAGGGCGUUUAGUAUUUGGUCGUAGACCCGAAACCAGGUGAUCUACCCUUGGUCAGGUUGAAGUUCAGGUAACACUGAAUGGAGGACCGAACCGACUUACGUUGAAAAGUGAGCGGAUGAACUGAGGGUAGCGGAGAAAUUCCAAUCGAACCUGGAGAUAGCUGGUUCUCUCCGAAAUAGCUUUAGGGCUAGCCUCAAGUGAUGAUUAUUGGAGGUAGAGCACUGUUUGGACGAGGGGCCCCUCUCGGGUUACCGAAUUCAGACAAACUCCGAAUGCCAAUUAAUUUAACUUGGGAGUCAGAACAUGGGUGAUAAGGUCCGUGUUCGAAAGGGAAACAGCCCAGACCACCAGCUAAGGUCCCAAAAUAUAUGUUAAGUGGAAAAGGAUGUGGCGUUGCCCAGACAACUAGGAUGUUGGCUUAGAAGCAGCCAUCAUUUAAAGAGUGCGUAAUAGCUCACUAGUCGAGUGACACUGCGCCGAAAAUGUACCGGGGCUAAACAUAUUACCGAAGCUGUGGAUUGUCCUUUGGACAAUGGUAGGAGAGCGUUCUAAGGGCGUUGAAGCAUGAUCGUAAGGACAUGUGGAGCGCUUAGAAGUGAGAAUGCCGGUGUGAGUAGCGAAAGACGGGUGAGAAUCCCGUCCACCGAUUGACUAAGGUUUCCAGAGGAAGGCUCGUCCGCUCUGGGUUAGUCGGGUCCUAAGCUGAGGCCGACAGGCGUAGGCGAUGGAUAACAGGUUGAUAUUCCUGUACCACCUAUAAUCGUUUUAAUCGAUGGGGGGACGCAGUAGGAUAGGCGAAGCGUGCGAUUGGAUUGCACGUCUAAGCAGUAAGGCUGAGUAUUAGGCAAAUCCGGUACUCGUUAAGGCUGAGCUGUGAUGGGGAGAAGACAUUGUGUCUUCGAGUCGUUGAUUUCACACUGCCGAGAAAAGCCUCUAGAUAGAAAAUAGGUGCCCGUACCGCAAACCGACACAGGUAGUCAAGAUGAGAAUUCUAAGGUGAGCGAGCGAACUCUCGUUAAGGAACUCGGCAAAAUGACCCCGUAACUUCGGGAGAAGGGGUGCUCUUUAGGGUUAACGCCCAGAAGAGCCGCAGUGAAUAGGCCCAAGCGACUGUUUAUCAAAAACACAGGUCUCUGCUAAACCGUAAGGUGAUGUAUAGGGGCUGACGCCUGCCCGGUGCUGGAAGGUUAAGAGGAGUGGUUAGCUUCUGCGAAGCUACGAAUCGAAGCCCCAGUAAACGGCGGCCGUAACUAUAACGGUCCUAAGGUAGCGAAAUUCCUUGUCGGGUAAGUUCCGACCCGCACGAAAGGCGUAACGAUUUGGGCACUGUCUCAACGAGAGACUCGGUGAAAUCAUAGUACCUGUGAAGAUGCAGGUUACCCGCGACAGGACGGAAAGACCCCGUGGAGCUUUACUGUAGCCUGAUAUUGAAAUUCGGCACAGCUUGUACAGGAUAGGUAGGAGCCUUUGAAACGUGAGCGCUAGCUUACGUGGAGGCGCUGGUGGGAUACUACCCUAGCUGUGUUGGCUUUCUAACCCGCACCACUUAUCGUGGUGGGAGACAGUGUCAGGCGGGCAGUUUGACUGGGGCGGUCGCCUCCUAAAAGGUAACGGAGGCGCUCAAAGGUUCCCUCAGAAUGGUUGGAAAUCAUUCAUAGAGUGUAAAGGCAUAAGGGAGCUUGACUGCGAGACCUACAAGUCGAGCAGGGUCGAAAGACGGACUUAGUGAUCCGGUGGUUCCGCAUGGAAGGGCCAUCGCUCAACGGAUAAAAGCUACCCCGGGGAUAACAGGCUUAUCUCCCCCAAGAGUUCACAUCGACGGGGAGGUUUGGCACCUCGAUGUCGGCUCAUCGCAUCCUGGGGCUGUAGUCGGUCCCAAGGGUUGGGCUGUUCGCCCAUUAAAGCGGUACGCGAGCUGGGUUCAGAACGUCGUGAGACAGUUCGGUCCCUAUCCGUCGUGGGCGAAGGAAAUUUGAGAGGAGCUGUCCUUAGUACGAGAGGACCGGGAUGGACAUACCUCUGGUGUACCAGUUGUCGUGCCAACGGCAUAGCUGGGUAGCUAUGUGUGGACGGGAUAAGUGCUGAAAGCAUCUAAGCAUGAAGCCCCCCUCAAGAUGAGAUUUCCCAACUUCGGUUAU
RNAcentral lists this ribosomal RNA (2815 nucleotides) under Staphylococcus aureus. RNAcentral describes it as "bacterial LSU rRNA". It matches the Rfam family "Bacterial large subunit ribosomal RNA". The record is from RNAcentral. Lineage: Bacteria; Bacillati; Bacillota; Bacilli; Caryophanales; Staphylococcaceae.